Molecule: long non-coding RNA, 263 nt
Filed under: Elaeis guineensis (African oil palm)
Lineage: Eukaryota; Viridiplantae; Streptophyta; Magnoliopsida; Arecales; Arecaceae
Description: long non-coding RNA (EGUI_LNC075030)
Source: RNAcentral
GAGUUGCCACAUGCCACUUCAUGGUCCCUUUUCAUGAACUUUCUUUGAAAGAGUACAUGUAAGGUAUAAUUAUUUCUUAAGUUUUAUGUUCUCAUAGCUCACUCUCAUCAGAUUCUUCCCAUAUGACUUCUUGUUUGGGCAGUUGGAAUGCCCCUGCAAUAGUGAUAGUCAACAAUUGCUGUGUAAGGUGUUGGGAUUCAGAUGCACAAUGGAACAUGGAUUUUAAAAUUUUUAGGCAUGCAUCAACUAUUGAUUACAUAAGG